CGGUUGACCAUAGUGUGUACG
RNAcentral lists this microRNA (21 nucleotides) under Echinops telfairi (small Madagascar hedgehog). Lineage: Eukaryota; Metazoa; Chordata; Mammalia; Afrosoricida; Tenrecidae. The record is from RNAcentral.